Molecule: ribosomal RNA, 274 nt
Filed under: uncultured bacterium
Lineage: Bacteria
Description: partial 16S ribosomal RNA
Rfam family: Bacterial small subunit ribosomal RNA
Source: RNAcentral
AUACGGAGGGUGCAAGCGUUAUUCGGAAUCACUGGGCGUAAAGGACGCGUAGGCGGGUUGGCAAGUCAGAUGUGAAAUCCUACAGCUUAACUGUAGAACUGCAUUUGAAACUGCUAACCUAGAGUAUGGGAGGGGGAGAUGGAAUUAGUGGUGUAGGGGUAAAAUCCGUAGAUAUCACUAGGAAUACCGAAAGCGAAGGCGAUCUCCUGGAACAUAACUGACGCUAGGGCGUGAAAGCGUGGGGAGCAAACAGGAUUAGAAACCCCAGUAGUCC